CAGGUCUAAUAGGGUUCGAACCUAUACCACGUCUGUCAAAGAGACGGGUGCUUCCAUUACACCAUAGACCU
This 71-nucleotide transfer RNA is filed under the name Vibrio phage 1.081.O._10N.286.52.C2. RNAcentral describes it as "tRNA-Gln". The record is from RNAcentral. Lineage: Duplodnaviria; Heunggongvirae; Uroviricota; Caudoviricetes; Pantevenvirales; Straboviridae.